Long non-coding RNA from Bolinopsis microptera, 730 nucleotides. RefSeq lists it as uncharacterized. The record is from RefSeq and is a predicted model, not a curated record. The transcript has 2 exons. NCBI's taxonomy places the organism in Eukaryota, Metazoa, Ctenophora, Tentaculata, Lobata, Bolinopsidae.
AGGACAAUGAAAGUGGUGAACCCGUUGACGUACAAGAGACCAAAAGCUCACGAUGCAGCUAAGAUACUCUACACCAACCAAACCAGAUCAAAGAGGAUUUUCAACUGUGUGGCGGCCAUUGGUGGUUUCGUGGGCGUAACUUACUGGGUGUCGACUUUCAGACAGAAGAAACAGCUACGAAACUUAGCAGAGCUCGAGCAAGAGUACGGUUAUUUAGAAGAACCAACUCCCCCAGGCGCUGCUGUGAGUUGAGCUCUGCUGACUGCAUCGUUCAAGUGACCCAUCCCUUGAUCCAACGUGAAGAAAUCAGGAAUCGUUAACGACAGUUAUGCUUAACUUAUUGAGGUGAAAUGAUGGAAAACGUUCAGAACUAGCUGAUUGUGCAGUGUUGAAAACAAUUAAUUUAUUAAAGUUGAAGCUCGUUUUAGGGCUUUACUUUGUAGCAUCUGGAUCUUCUCAUUAUGAUAUUACAUUAAAGCUGUAAUAUAUCUUGUUGUGUUGUCGACAAGUCUAUACCGACCCUCUGCAAUCAGAUAUGUCUCAAUUUAUGAAUGUUUGGUAGAACCAGAAGAUGUUUACUCAAAUUAUUACAUAAUUAUAUUGGCUAUUAAAAAGCAAGGUUCACUCGACUCAGCUUGUUGGUUUGUCAUGUUGAGAAGACUAGAUUGAGUUGAUCUAUAAUUGUGUUCCUAAAUAGUUUUGUAAUUAGUGGUGACGAUUUGUUUGUAAA